Molecule: long non-coding RNA, 1662 nt
Organism: Dermochelys coriacea (leatherback sea turtle)
Lineage: Eukaryota; Metazoa; Chordata; Testudines; Dermochelyidae
Exons: 2
Source: RefSeq, a predicted model, not a curated record
CAGUGAAACCCGCUGAGGACAGAGCCUCCAGGGAGGAAACUCUGGGGCCAUGGCUCUAAACCACAGCAGGGACAGACUUAAAGCUGGCCCAGGAGGGGCUGAGAACUGAGCUCAGAGACAGGGCUGCAGACGUUACCAACAACACCGGGAUCAAGCUCUGUUGGACCUUGUUUGUUGGUGCAUGUUGACUGUGUGUUACUUGGCUGGAGGGCUGAGCCACUGAAGACUCGCCUGAUGAGGGAAUUGCCAAUGGGGGGGGGGGCACCAUGAGCAGAGAGAGUGAAGGUUCACACACACCUGCCAGGAAGAGCUCAGGAGGGAGCCCCCAACUCCCAGGGAGCCCUGGCUGGUGGGAUUUGCCCAAACAGGAGAAUCCAACCUCACAGAGCUCCAGUGGGCUAGAGAACAGGCAGGAAAUCCCACUCAUGCUUCCUGCUGUGAGCUCUCCUGCAAGGAACUGCAGUUGCAUGGGCUGCCGAGGUCACACCUGUGCAGUGGCAGCUGCUGCUGAAGGGUGCUAGCAGGUCAGGCGUCCAAGCUCUGGGCUGUGGCCUGAGUUGAGGGAACAGCCUGAGUAUGGGGCCCUGAUGAGCCUGAACCACAGUGACUGUGAGGAUCAGACAGAAAGAGGCCCCACCUCUGACUGUGGGUCUAAUUGGCGCUGAUGGACGUGACUGUUGCUGAUCAUAGUGGUGGGGUGAUUUCUGGGUGAAUCCCUGCCUACCCAAGGGCAACAAGGAGGGGUCUCCAUCCCAAGGCCAGGGGUGAGAGUUUGGAACUAACUACCACCAAGGGGAGCCCCCACCACACAUCUCUUUUGGCUUCAACCUGCUGCUCUUGAUCCAGUUGCUGAUGGUGUCGCUUGCAUCUGAUGGGCAGGUGCUGUGGAGCUGAGUGUCCCCUCCAUGUCUUCUCGCAAUCUCCCCUGGUGGCUCCAUAUGGAGACUGUAGCAGUCUUGGUAGGAGGAUGAAUCUCUGUGGGACUCUACAGGCAGGAGCUCUGGAAGAGGAGAAGCAGGUGCUCAUCUCCCUGGGUUGGGUCUGACAGCAACAGCUGAACCCAUCUCAUCUAGCACUUGUUCCAUUUCUGAGGAGGAAUGGCAGGAGUCCAUGGUCAGAUGUGUCAGAUCCAGGGGAGAGAUCCAGUCAUGAGCAUGGACAUACAACCCUUGUCCAUGGCCACAAGGAGUUCCCCCAUCGGGGCCAAGAGCAUUAUCGCUGUUCCCACCCUGGCCUGAAGCCUGACUGAAAGGGGUUCAGGAUUCUGAUACCACCUUGGUGGAGCUGGAUGUGACCUGGGAGCGAUUCUCAGCUGCCUUGCUCAGGAAUGGGAGGAUGAAUACUGGAUGAUUGGAGAUCGGUUGUGGUGAGCAAUGAUAUCUUCCCAGCUACAGCCUCUGAGAAAAACAAGGACAGAAGGGUGACGUCUCCCUCUCUCUCCUAGCUCUGUACCAUCCUGCUCCCCUCAACAUGCCUGAUUUGUGCAUUCUCAUGUGGUCCAACUCCCAUUGUUGGUUGCAGCUCGGUAUCCUGGUUUCAGGUUAGUAGGGAAGCUUGCUUUCUUGCUGUCUCUGCCUAGAGACCCUCAGUCUCCACAGGUGUUGGGCUGGCAUGUUUAAUUGGCACUAAAGUUCUACCAAACUUUUUUUUUUCAGUCCAAAA